This is a long non-coding RNA of Quercus lobata, 1728 nucleotides long. RefSeq lists it as uncharacterized. The record is from RefSeq and is a predicted model, not a curated record. Lineage: Eukaryota; Viridiplantae; Streptophyta; Magnoliopsida; Fagales; Fagaceae. The transcript has 4 exons.
AUCCAUAUGAAUAGCUAUCUUAACAGAACACUUGAGAAAUUUUUGUAUUGAUCUGAACCUGUACUUAAUUGUUGAAAAGAAAGUUCUUCAAAAUUGGGCUAUAAUCUUGUAUUGAUUUUGUAUCCUAAGCAAUUAAUUACUAGUUAGAGCAUUUUAUACUCUCUAAAUAGAGAACAAAUUUAGAAAAAAAGACAAUUGGGCUUCAUUUUUUUUUUUUUUUUUUUGUUACAAAAUCUGCAGAGGAAAAGGGGUAAUGAGAAACAAUUCAGGGCCAACAAACAUCGUAGAUGUCUUUUAGGUUACAGUGAUCCUAGAAGUUGUAAAAGAGUGUUGUUUUGAUUAUUAUUGCAUGCUGAACUCAAAACUAUAUUCCUUAUGGGAAACCAUAACUUGCAUAAGAGGAAGUGGUCAUGUGGCACACUAAUGAGGACACUAGGUGGUGUUAGUGGCACGUUGGAGACUGUCUAAAGCAUUAAAUUCCUUUUUGCAUGUUAUAUCUCCUUGAAAUAGAGAUUUGACUUUUAAGAUUGAUAUCUAUUUUGGAGCAUUUUAAUUGUUGUCCAUUGCGAUUUAAGUAUUUUAUAAAUAUGCCAUCAUUAAACUUCUUUCUUUGAAGUUCUAAAUUUCUAAUUGAUGCUUGUAACCUUGAAUAAUCCCUGUGUGGAAGAUGUUGGGCUUCUUAUCCCUUACCUUGCAAAUCUGCCUCCAAGAAAUAAUGUGUGUGCAAAGCCCCACUCAAACUUUAUGCAAGAUUGAUAGAAAGAGCCCAUAGAAACUGAUAAUGGCAAACAGAAUGGCGAGGCCAAUGAAGUUAAAGAUCAAAUCAUCGGGGCUUCUUUAUUUCUCCCAGCCAGAAGAAACAAUCCCCACAUUACAAGGAAUUUUGGAAAGAACUUGGGGAUAUGAACAAAGAUUCUAAACUGCCAAUGAAAUGAGGAUCAUUAAGUUAGUCGCACAAAGUUAUAAGCAUGGAAAAUGGUGUUGUGCACUAUGGUGGAGAGUUUUAUAGUGAUGAUGACUUGCAAAGUUGGGCUUUAGUUUCAUCAUUUGAAGCCUUAAUGUUUCCAUUUCCUCCUCAUCAUCAGGAAAACAUUAAAGUUCAUUGCCCAUUGUGUUUUCUGAGAUUGACCUCAGGCAACCACUUAUUUGCAAAGUACCUGAAAUUGAACCGCAUGAAACUUUGGGGUUUUGGUACUGCAUAUCUCAUCAAACACAGUUAAAACCUAUUGGAGAAGCACAGUUUUAUAUUGGUGAAAAUUGUUAAGCAAGGAUGCACCUCAGAUAGCCAUGUCUGACAUUCUGGUGCAAGAUAUAUUUGAUAAGCUCCAUUGGUUGCAAAGCUUCAUAUGUUAGAAUAACAAAGCUCCCUACCUAUCUGCCCUACAUCAUUUACCUUGUCUAUAAAUUUUUAUGCCAAGUUCAUAGAUGCAACUAUGCUGAGCGAUGAGGAUCCAUUCAGCAUUGUGAGUGUAGCUUGUCAUGGAUCUCAAGAUGAAAUGAGGUCAACGAGUGAUACACAUGAAUUGGAAACUAUGCAAUUGAUGUUAUGCAUAUCUGUAAUUACAAUUUUCCCUAUCUUUUUUGUUUGAAUGUUAAUGGCUGGUUAUUAGGUUUAUCAUUCACUAUAGAGGCAGGUGGUGGUUUCUAAAGUAACAGAAAAAAUUGUUUGUACAAGUGCAUGAUUUUGUUAAAUUUCAUUUUUCUGAUCAUUAAUGACCUAAGAUAAUG